GCAUGCGGCGUGCUACACAUGCAGUCGAACGGGAAUAUUUCAUUGAGACUUCGGUGGAUUUGAUCUAUUUCUAGUGGCGGACGGGUGAGUAACGCGUGGGUAACCUGCCUUAUACAGGGGGAUAACAGUCAGAAAUGGCUGCUAAUACCGCAUAAGCGCACAGAGCUGCAUGGCUCGGUGUGAAAAACUCCGGUGGUAUAAGAUGGACCCGCGUUGGAUUAGCUGGUUGGUGGGGUAACGGCCCACCAAGGCGACGAUCCAUAGCCGGCCUGAGAGGGUGAACGGCCACAUUGGGACUGAGACACGGCCCAGACUCCUACGGGAGGCAGCAGUGGGGAAUAUUGCACAAUGGGGGAAACCCUGAUGCAGCGACGCCGCGUGAAGGAAGAAGUAUCUCGGUAUGUAAACUUCUAUCAGCAGGGAAGAUAGUGACGGUACCUGACUAAGAAGCCCCGGCUAACUACGUGCCAGCAGCCGCGGUAAUACGUAGGGGGCAAGCGUUAUCCGGAUUUACUGGGUGUAAAGGGAG
RNAcentral lists this ribosomal RNA (529 nucleotides) under uncultured Lachnospiraceae bacterium. RNAcentral's name for it is "bacterial SSU rRNA". It matches the Rfam family "Bacterial small subunit ribosomal RNA", at positions 35 to 569 of the family's 1533-position model. Lineage: Bacteria; Bacillati; Bacillota; Clostridia; Lachnospirales; Lachnospiraceae. The record is from RNAcentral.